This 504-nucleotide ribosomal RNA is filed under the name uncultured bacterium. RNAcentral describes it as "partial 16S ribosomal RNA". It matches the Rfam family "Bacterial small subunit ribosomal RNA", at positions 28 to 506 of the family's 1533-position model. The record is from RNAcentral.
GACGAACGCUGGCGGCGUGCCUAAUACAUGCAAGUAGAACGCACAGUUUAUACCGUAGCUUGCUACACCAUAAACUGUGAGUUGCGAACGGGUGAGUAACGCGUAGGUAACCUGCCUGGUAGCGGGGGAUAACUAUUGGAAACGAUAGCUAAUACCGCAUAAUAUUGAUUAUUGCAUGAUAAUUGAUUGAAAGAUGCUAUUGCAUCACUACCAGAUGGACCUGCGUUGUAUUAGCUAGUAGGUGAGGUAACGGCUCACCUAGGCGACGAUACACAGCCGACCUGAGAGGGUGAUCGGCCACACUGGGACUGAGACACGGCCCAGACUCCUACGGGAGGCAGCAGUAGGGAAUCUUCGGCAAUGGACGAAAGUCUGACCGAGCAACGCCGCGUGAGUGAAGAAGGUUUUCGGAUCGUAAAGCUCUGUUGUAAGAGAAGAACGGGUGUGAGAGUGGAAAGUUCACACUGUGACGGUAUCUUACCAGAAAGGGACGGCUAACUACGU